CAAUUUGUAGACGGGUGGGGAG
RNAcentral lists this non-coding RNA (22 nucleotides) under Rattus norvegicus (Norway rat). The record is from RNAcentral. Lineage: Eukaryota; Metazoa; Chordata; Mammalia; Rodentia; Muridae.